GGUGGAGUGAUUUGUCUGGUUUAUUCCGAUAACGAACGAGACUCUGGCCUGCUAACUAGUGUUCACAUCUUUACGUGUGCUUCGCUUCUUAGAGGGACAGGCGGCUUCCAGCCGCAUGAAAAAGAGCAAUAACAGGUCUGUGAUGCCCUUAGAUGUCCGGGGCUGCACGCGCGCUACACUGAAAGAAUCAGCGUGUACGUUACCUGGCUCGAAAGUGUCGGGUAAUCCGGUGAAAAUCUUUCGUGAUUGGGAUCGGGACUUGCAAUUA
Molecule: ribosomal RNA, 268 nt
Filed under: Nematoda environmental sample
Lineage: Eukaryota; Metazoa; Nematoda
Description: partial 18S ribosomal RNA
Rfam family: Eukaryotic small subunit ribosomal RNA
Source: RNAcentral